This is a long non-coding RNA of Myotis daubentonii (Daubenton's bat), 641 nucleotides long. RefSeq lists it as uncharacterized. Lineage: Eukaryota; Metazoa; Chordata; Mammalia; Chiroptera; Vespertilionidae. The record is from RefSeq and is a predicted model, not a curated record.
CCGCUAGGAAGAUUACCUUUUUAAACAAAAUAUUUAAAUGCUCUGGCAUAAGAAACACAGUAUACUCCGUUUUCUUUGCAUAUAUUCAUUUAAUACAGAACUUUACCUCUUCACCUGGACAAGCCAAUCAAACUUCAAGAACAGGUGAUUUAUCACCACUAUGUAUAAAAGUAUUUGAUUAGAGAAAAAGCAAUGAAAAUCCUACUGAUAAAAAAAGGGUGAGUCUUAUUUGUUGGCUAUUAGUGGUGCAUUUGCAAGAAGUUCACACCAGCAUAAACUGCUCUCUGCUUUUCCAGCCCAGCCAGGAAAUGAAUGCAACCAGAGCACAGUGGGUGACCUGGUGAAACAGCUUCUGAAACAGCUUCUCUGCUGACUCUGCUCGGUGGGAACUCCUUCCCUGGAAACUCCACUGCUGGAGAGUACUUGAGAAUUAAACCCCAAGUUCCCAAAGAAAACAUUCCACAGAAUGAAAGAUUUAGAAGUAGGAGGCAUUUGCUCCCAUAGAGAAAUACACAGGAAUAACAAGAAACUUGAGUACCUCUUCUCAUGGGAAAGGGAAAGUCCGGAAACUUAGAUUUUCUUCUAGACUUCCGGGAAUAAUGCUCUGAAAUAUCCUCACCAAAGGGCUUUGCACUGUCCAC